GGAUCCGCUCCUUAGGACGUUAUAGUUACGGCCGCCGUUUACUGGGGCUUCAAUUCGCAGCUUCGCUUGCGCUAACCACUCCUCUUAACCUUCCAGCACCGGGCAGGCGUCAGCCCCUAUACGUCACCUUACGGUUUUGCAGAGACCUGUGUUUUUGCUAAACAGUCGCCUGGGCCUAUUCACUGCGGCUCUCAUGCGCUUGCACGCUCAAGAGCACCCCUUCUCCCGAAGUUACGGGGUCAUUUUGCCGAGUUCCUUAACGAGAGUUCUCUCGCACACCUUAGGAUUCUCUCCUCGACUACCUGUGUCGGUUUGCGGUACGGGCACCUCUCACCUCGAUAGAGGCUUUUCUUGGCAGUGUGAAAUCAGGAACUUCGUCCUUAAAGGACUCGCCAUCACAGCUCAACGUUACAGUGUGCGGAUUUGCCUACACACACGCCUUACUGCUUGGACGCGCACAACCAACGGCGCGCUUACCCUAUCCUACUGCGUCCCCCCAUUUCUCAAACGGUGAGGAGGUGGUACAGGAAUAUCAACCUGUUGUCCAUCGCCUACGCCUAUCGGCCUCGGCUUAGGUCCCGACUAACCCUGAGCGGACGAGCCUUCCUCAGGAAACCUUAGUCAUACGGUGGACGGGAUUCUCACCCGUCUUUCGCUACUCAUACCGGCAUUAGUCAUACGGUGGACGGGAUUCUCACCCGUCUUUCGCUACUCAUACCGGCAUUCUCACUUCUAAGCGCUCCACCAGUCCUUCCGGUCUGACUUCAACGCACUUAGAACGCUCUCCUACCACUGACAUCAUAGAUGUCAAUCCACAGCUUCGGUGAAUCGUUUAGCCCCGAUACAUUUUCGGCGCAGCGUCACUCGACCAGUGAGCUAUUACGCACUCUUUAAAUGAUGGCUGCUUCUGGG
This 912-nucleotide ribosomal RNA is filed under the name Acetobacter pasteurianus. Its description in RNAcentral is "partial 23S ribosomal RNA". Lineage: Bacteria; Pseudomonadati; Pseudomonadota; Alphaproteobacteria; Acetobacterales; Acetobacteraceae. The record is from RNAcentral.